GAUUACUUGAUCAUCCUUAAAGAUACAACGUAGGAGAUAGUCCUUAUCACCUUGUUUCAACACUUGCCAACUCAUUUUUCCAAGAGCAAAAUAUGCUAAUUUCCUUAAGUCCUCUAAAUUUUAAGUUCUAAUUCUAACUUGGAAUACCUAGUAUUGACUAGGAUUUCCGAUGAGCAGACUUGAAGAAGAGAUCAAGAUGAAACAAUGAGUUGCGCUGGCACUAAACACACUGACACCAGAUCCUGAAAUUUGUAGAUUUCACAUGGAUCACCAAUUUAUGGGAGUUAAAGUUUAAGGAUAAUUUUACUUCGUGAAGAGUUGACAUCACCGAUUUUGUUAUCUUAACCCAUAGUCUUAACCAUCUUAACACAUGAUAAGUUUUAGGUUAUUUGCGCUGUUAUGUUGAUUUCGUUGUUUACAUUGGAGUAGGCAAAGAUUACACUGGUGGCCAAUGAACAACAACAACAAAAAUCCCUCCAUUCCAAUCGUGUUUACAUUUGUUCGCUAGCCGCUAAAUUAUCAAUUCUGAUUUCUGAUUGAUUACCUGCAUGAAUUCAGUCUUCUUAUUUUAAUUCAAUUUUAGUUACAUCGUGAAAAAGUUCAUCUACCGUAAAUUAAUUUAUCGCUGAAUCAGUGUAGGGUAGUUUCAUCUACAUCUUUAGAGCUCCGAGGCGAUCAUCAGAUCAUAAUCUCACCAUUGGAAUUCUUUCAGUCGAGUAGGUUGCAGGAGGUCAUUCGUCCAGGGUCCAGAUAUAGCCGAACUUGUGAUCAAUAUUUCGCAUUCAUUUUCUCCAAUGUGGGGCCAUAAAAAGAUGUAACAAAGCUUGUAUCAAUACAUCUUUGAACGCAAGCAGAACUGCUGCUGUUAGAAAACUAAAGUGCUCUUGGAUUAUAUCAUUGAAGUUGCCAAUUAUUAGCCGAUUUCGAGUUUGAGGUCACCAACGAAAGCAAAGAAGGAGUAGAGAAUGCGACAAGAUUGUCAAAUUGAUAAAGUUAACCGUAAGUAAGUUGGAGAGGCCGUAACUAGUCAGUUGUGUGACGUCAAGCUAGUAGAUAUUUACCGAAAACAACAAGCAUCUCCGGGUCAUCGGUGCAUCGAUGAGUGAGGCAGUCGCUGCGUGGACCAAUCAGAGUGGCCCUCGAUCGGCCGAAGUUGCGCGAGAUCCGCCGAAGAUGCGCGAGCGGCACGUUUGAAUCUGAGUGGAGUAACAAUUUUCAGCAUUACGCUUUCAUUUCCUCGAUUUUUAGACAAUGUCACAAAUGGGUUAGUUAGUUUUCUAAAGUGAAAUUUCAUCUUCUUUCGAAAAGGUUCUUAUGAAAUUUUGCGUCAGAUCAACCCUGAAAAAGAUAUCGGCGAGAAAUCAUCGCGCGGCAAGCGUUCUCCCAUAAGAACGCGUGUUAAACCGCGGCCGAGUUUCAUCUACUAGUGUGACAUCACAGAAUCAUAGUUACGGCCUCUCCAUUCUCGUAGGCAACGAGUUAACCUAUUCGUUUUUUAUUUUUUCUUGCUGUCAAUCUUGCUGUAGAAUUUCACUCUGAAAGUGAAACAUUUUUGGAGGUCAGAAACCUAUUUUCUUUGAUAUGACUUAUGUAGUAAGUGGCUAAGGAGAACGGCACUUAUCGAGAGAUGUUUUUGAAAAUUACAAGCGUACCAAUACCCAUAAAUUUUGUGUAG
This 1675-nucleotide long non-coding RNA is filed under the name Bemisia tabaci. RNAcentral's name for it is "lncRNA ENSASIAIIG003647". Lineage: Eukaryota; Metazoa; Arthropoda; Insecta; Hemiptera; Aleyrodidae. The record is from RNAcentral.